RNAcentral lists this ribosomal RNA (498 nucleotides) under uncultured bacterium. RNAcentral's name for it is "bacterial SSU rRNA". It matches the Rfam family "Bacterial small subunit ribosomal RNA", at positions 30 to 521 of the family's 1533-position model. The record is from RNAcentral.
AUUGAAUGCUGGCGGAAUGCUUUACACAUGCAAGUCGAACGGCAGCACGGGGGCAACCCUGGUGGCGAGUGGCGAACGGGUGAGUAAUACAUCGGAACGUGCCCAGUCGUGGGGGAUAACGUAGCGAAAGCUACGCUAAUACCGCAUACGAUCUACGGAUGAAAGCGGGGGAUCGCAAGACCUCGCGCGAUUGGAGCGGCCGAUGGCAGAUUAGGUAGUUGGUGGGGUAAAGGCUCACCAAGCCUUCGAUCUGUAGCUGGUCUGAGAGGACGACCAGCCACACUGGGACUGAGACACGGCCCAGACUCCUACGGGAGGCAGCAGUGGGGAAUUUUGGACAAUGGGCGAAAGCCUGAUCCAGCCAUUCCGCGUGCAGGAUGAAGGCCCUCGGGUUGUAAACUGCUUUUGUACGGAACGAAACGGCCUUUUCUAAUACAGAGGGCUAAUGACGGUACCGUAAGAAUAAGCACCGGCUAACUACGUGCCAGCAGCCGCGGU